Non-coding RNA from Ciona intestinalis (vase tunicate), 1136 nucleotides. NCBI's taxonomy places the organism in Eukaryota, Metazoa, Chordata, Ascidiacea, Phlebobranchia, Cionidae. The record is from RefSeq and is a predicted model, not a curated record.
CCUUCCUUUAAGUGAUGACGCGUACUUCUCCAAGAUUCCUUGUUUUUCUUCGUUUGUAAACGAAUUAUCGAAUAUCUCGGUAAAUUUAGAUAUCACCUCAUGACACUGAAUGCAGGGCAUUUAAUGAACUUAAAUGGAAGAGGAAACAGUAAGCUCCAAGAUAUCAGAUUGCACCAGCCUAAUGAUAACUUUGAUUUUAAGAGUUCAUAAGUAAACUUGAUGUCAGUUGAAGACAAUUUCUCUUCCACCAUUCUGUCGACUCUUUCCGAAAGAGCAACCGUAAAGCAAUUUUGAGACCUACCUUCUAAAUCAGCUGUUACAAAAUCACUGAAAGAGUCUCCCAUUAUUCGACGAAAAGCUUCACUCUCUCUCGGGUAAACUUGAUGUCAGUUGAAGAUAAUUUCUCUUCCACCAUUCUGUCGACUCUCCGCGAAAGUGCAACUGUAAAGAAAAGAAGCGACGAUGACAUCAUUUUUCCACGGCUUCCAUUCAUUGUAUGCAUAAUCUACUAAUGCAGGAUUCCCACCAGGUGAUAACUGGUAGUCUUUCCACACAUGGAAUUGCGGAUGAGCAAAUUCUUCUUUAAUAAAGUCUAGUGCAAUAAAAAGCUGCCGCCCGGAUGACAUAACUCUAAACUAUUUCAUCCUGUGAGAAAGUUUAACUGCAAUGCACACAAUUAGGGAAGAUAAAAAUCCAACUUCUUCAUGGUUCUCAGAAGCGGUGACAUUUUACCACCACCGUCAGAUGUUGUCGCCAACGCUGUUAAGAGUCGUGAGGCAUGAUGGCUGCAACUCAAGUUCUUGCAAUGGACGCAAAGAACCUGCUUAAUGUUGUCGACAUAGUCUCGUUUGCAAGCCCUCGCUGGAGCCAGCAACGGCCAUGUCACUUCGAACACCGAGGAACCCAGCGGCGAAAUCUGCGGGACUCGUGUUUUUUCUAUUUUUAUCUUCUAAUAUUUUGAUGAAUUCUAACCAAACUAUCGUAUAGUAGGAUGGGGCAAGAUGGGCCCCUUUUUUUAGAUGAGACUUUUUUAAUUUUCUUUUAACGGACCCCUAUUUAAUGAUAAUUAGGAAAAUAAUGUUACAGAAUUAUUCAACAGUAUUAUCAAGACUUUAUAAAAUGCGCGUCAAAGCUGA